Molecule: ribosomal RNA, 336 nt
Filed under: Neusticomys oyapocki
Lineage: Eukaryota; Metazoa; Chordata; Mammalia; Rodentia; Cricetidae
Description: partial 12S ribosomal RNA
Rfam family: Bacterial small subunit ribosomal RNA
Source: RNAcentral
AACCCAAAUUAACCAUUCCCCGGCGUAAAAUGUGUUAUCAAGGACCUAAAAUAGAAUUAAAACUCAAUCAAUAUGUGAAAAUUCAUCGUUGAAACUAAAGUCAGUGACGAAAGUAAUUCUAAUCUCCCUAAUACACGAUAGCUAAGAUCCAAACUGGGAUUAGAUACCCCACUAUGCUUAGCCCUAAACCUUAAUAGUUCUUAAACAAAACUAUUUGCCCGAGAACUACUGGCCAUGGCUUAAAACUCAAAGGACUUGGCGGUACUUUAUAUCCAUCUAGAGGAGCCUGUUCUAUAAUCGAUAUACCCCGUUAUACCUUACCACUUCUUGCUAAUU